This 850-nucleotide ribosomal RNA is filed under the name Curvularia sp. RNAcentral describes it as "partial large subunit ribosomal RNA". It matches the Rfam family "Eukaryotic large subunit ribosomal RNA", at positions 84 to 952 of the family's 3401-position model. The record is from RNAcentral. Lineage: Eukaryota; Fungi; Ascomycota; Dothideomycetes; Pleosporales; Pleosporaceae.
UAACGGCGAGUGAAGCGGCAACAGCUCAAAUUUGAAAUCUGGCUCUUUUAGAGUCCGAGUUGUAAUUUGCAGAGGGCGCUUUGGCUUUGGCAGCGGUCCAAGUUCCUUGGAACAGGACGUCACAGAGGGUGAGAAUCCCGUACGUGGUCGCUAGCUAUUGCCGUGUAAAGCCCCUUCGACGAGUCGAGUUGUUUGGGAAUGCAGCUCUAAAUGGGAGGUAAAUUUCUUCUAAAGCUAAAUAUUGGCCAGAGACCGAUAGCGCACAAGUAGAGUGAUCGAAAGAUGAAAAGCACUUUGGAAAGAGAGUCAAACAGCACGUGAAAUUGUUGAAAGGGAAGCGCUUGCAGCCAGACUUGCUUGCAGUUGCUCAUCCGGGCUUUUGCCCGGUGCACUCUUCUGCAGGCAGGCCAGCAUCAGUUUGGGCGGUGGGAUAAAGGUCUCUGACACGUUCCUUCCUUCGGGUUGGCCAUAUAGGGGAGACGUCAUACCACCAGCCUGGACUGAGGUCCGCGCAUCUGCUAGGAUGCUGGCGUAAUGGCUGUAAGCGGCCCGUCUUGAAACACGGACCAAGGAGUCUAACAUCUAUGCGAGUGUUUGGGUGUCAAGCCCGAGCGCGUAAUGAAAGUGAACGGAGGUGGGAACCCGCAAGGGUGCACCAUCGACCGAUCCUGAAGUUUACGGAAGGAUUUGAGUAAGAGCAUGGCUGUUGGGACCCGAAAGAUGGUGAACUAUGCUUGAAUAGGGUGAAGCCAGAGGAAACUCUGGUGGAGGCUCGCAGCGGUUCUGACGUGCAAAUCGAUCGUCAAAUUUGGGCAUAGGGGCGAAAGACUAAUCGAACUAUCUAGUAGCU